UCCCUGGUGGCCUAGUGGGUUAAGGAUCUGGCAUUGUCACUGCUGUGCCGUGGGUUCUAUUCCUGUCCUGGGAA
RNAcentral lists this transfer RNA (74 nucleotides) under Sus scrofa (pig). It matches the Rfam family "tRNA". From Rfam's summary of the family: Transfer RNA (tRNA) molecules are approximately 80 nucleotides in length. Their secondary structure includes four short double-helical elements and three loops (D, anti-codon, and T loops). Lineage: Eukaryota; Metazoa; Chordata; Mammalia; Artiodactyla; Suidae. The record is from Rfam by way of RNAcentral.